UUAAUACUAUCCUGACAUGAUUUAAUGUUAAUUAAUUUUACUGGCUCGAUAUCCAGGUCAGAACAGCAUUUUAACACAUAUUGUGUGAGUGUUUUUCUGAGUGUGUUUCAGUCGUGAAUCCCCUUUGAAAAUGCAUCAACAUCCAGGAACUUGGUCAAUAUUUUGCGCGGUUAGGAGGUGUCAUGUCGCUGUCCAUGAAGGGACACUCACUUACUGUAGCAGCAGCGUCAUCGCGGCAGCGC
Long non-coding RNA from Thalassophryne amazonica, 242 nucleotides. RefSeq lists it as uncharacterized. The record is from RefSeq and is a predicted model, not a curated record. The transcript has 3 exons. NCBI's taxonomy places the organism in Eukaryota, Metazoa, Chordata, Actinopteri, Batrachoidiformes, Batrachoididae.